CCGCCCCUGCGUGCAUGGGGUUUCCACAGGAAGCUCUAAAAGAGGCAGACCCGCAUCGGCUGCGCCCAGACGCAUCUCCUGCUGUUUGUCCUCUGUCCGUCUGUCCGGAGCGCCACCAUGCGCUCCUUCAACGCCACGCAGCGGAACCUCAGCGGGACCGCCAACCACUCCGACCCGUUCGGGCGCAACGAGGAGGUGGCCAAGCUGGAGAUCACGGUGCUGAGCCUGGCGUUCGUGGCGGCGGUGGCGGGGAACCUGAGCGUCCUGCUGGCCAUGCUGCGCAGCCGCAGAAAGCUGUCGCGCAUGCACCUGUUCAUGAAGCACCUGAGCCUGGCCGACCUGGUGGUCGCCUUCUUCCAGGUGCUGCCGCAGCUCUGCUGGGAGGUCACCUUCCGCUUCUACGGGCCGGACUUCCUGUGCCGCAUCGUGAAGCACCUGCAGGUUCUGGGCAUGUUCGCCUCCACCUACAUGAUGGUGAUGAUGACCGUGGACCGCUACGUGGCGAUCUGCCACCCGCUGCGCAGCCUGCGGCAGCCCACGCGGCGCGCCUACAUUAUGAUCAGCUGCAGCUGGGCGUGCAGCCUGCUGCUCAGCUCCCCGCAGUACUUCAUCUUCUCCCUCAGCGAGGUUCGCCCCGGUUCGGCCGUCUACGACUGCUGGGGUCACUUCGUGGAGCCGUGGGGGCUGCGCGCCUACAUCACCUGGAUCACGGCGGGGAUCUUCCUGGUUCCGGUGGCCGUGCUGGUGUUCUGCUACGGCUUCAUCUGCAGGACGAUCUGGAAGAACCUGAAGGGCAAAACCCGCAGGAAGAGCGCGGACGCUUCGGCGGCGGGCGGCAGGUCCAGGAUCCUGGGCAGGAACUCCGUCAGCAGCGUCUCCACCAUCUCCCGCGCCAAAUUACGCACCGUCAAGAUGACUUUCGUGAUCGUGGUGGCUUACGUGGUGUGCUGGGCUCCGUUCUUCAUCGUUCAGAUGUGGUCCGUGUGGGACGAAACCUUCUCCUGGCACGACUCUGAGAACCCGGCGGUGACGCUGUCCGCCCUGCUGGCCAGCCUCAACAGCUGCUGCAACCCCUGGAUCUACCUGAUCUUCAGCGGCCACCUGCUGUCGGACUUCCUGGGCCUGCUGCCCUGCUGCCGCCGGCUGCGGGACCGGCUGCGGCAGCAGGACUCGGACAGCAGCAUCCGGCGCACCACGCUGCUGUCCCGCCUGCAGGCGCCGCGCCCGUCCGACCUCAACUUCACCUUCAAAAACUGUCCGCCGGCCACACCGGCGUCCUGACUGCAGACACGCCCGACCGGCUGACAUCAACCAGGGAGCUAAAGGAGAGCUUGGUUCGGUCCAAACGGGGAGCGUUCACUUCUCGUUGUGGGUUAAGCAGCUUUUCACGAUGGCUUCGUUAAAGGGGCAGUAUCAUAUAAAAUCAACUUUUUUUUAACUUUCCAUCAUGUUUUAAUGUUUUUCCCUCAUCUAAAGCAACCCUGGAGUGUUGCUUUGAUUCUUUCAGUAUGUCUGAGAAAUCAUUUAAUCACCAUGGCAACCAUUCAGCUGUUAAAACACCCGUUUGGACCUAGCUCCGCCUUCAAAACGCAGCUCCUCCCCCACUCAGCUCCUUCAAACUAGCCAGCAGCAGUUAGCAAACAGCUGGUGGAACUGCUGAGCUCAUCAUUAUUCUCAGAGCAACGCCGGUAAAAACGCUGGGAAAGGGUUAAUAGAGGAGCCAUGUUGACUUCCUGAAGGCGGAGCUUCUUAAAGAGACAGAGGCCCAAUUUUAGAUUACAAAGUAAAACGUCUUCUAAAUCAUGUUUGAUAUUUACAGCGUUUUUAUAACAGUUGACUGUAACAUAGUUACUUAAUUAUGCUAUAAAAAACGCAUCAUACUGUCCCUUUAACGUAUUUCAGAUAUAAAAUGGAUGAUUUACCAAUACAAGCUGGUGCCAAGCAGUUAUUAAAUAAAAGUCACUUGGAAACCAUAAUUGUUUCGGCUUUAAGGACAACUAGGAUAGAAAAAAACUCAAAUGUGGCCAAAAGUUUGUUUAUUCACUUUUUUUUUUGGGUUGUAAAUUCUUGGACUUUUUCUAACCGUAAAUAAACAGCCAAUAAAUUUGGAUUAAUGAAAAAAUAUUGAGAAUAAUCUGGAUUACCAUCUGCUGCAAUCCUAAAACUCCAAACAAUUUAAAUAUUAGACUUGAGGAUCUAAAAUGUGUUAUGAGCCAAAAAACAGCUAAAAAAGAUCAAAACUGAACAACAUAAUUAUGUUUCCAGUUUCCGCAAAUGUAUUUUACUUUGUAGGCGUGAGGAGCAUUUUCAGAGCAUUUUCUUUCUGUUUGUAUUUUCUAAACAAUAAUCCAGCAAGCUGUUCUGUGUUUGUAAUACUCGGUAAGUUUCCUUCAGUAGAAACACAAUGAUUAUUGUUCAGGCCUGAAACGGGACGUUAAUUUCCUGACAGCUGGUAUCUAAUGGCCCUUUCCAUUUAAACUUCAUGGGAAGUUUAAAUCUUCAUUGUAAAUUCAGGAACCAGGUCUGGAAUGUCAGCUUUGCAAAUUCAUUAGAUUCUCAGUAUGUUUACAUUUCUUACAUAAAUACUGAGAAUAUACAGUUUUUUAUUCACCUUAAAGCUAAUUGGAUGAUUAAUUAACAUUUUCCCAAGAGAAAAAUCACAGAUUCUCCUUCAUAGAAACCAUUAAAACCUUUGAACUUGUUGUUGGGAAAAGGAAAAUGUGGCUGUAGUUUAACUUGAUUUGGAUCAAUGGAAACUGAUUCAAACCCAGAGUUUAUAAAACCUAAAGGCUGUAAUUUAGUUUACAUUCAUGCAAAUUCUCUUUACCAAGUUGAACUCCUUUGCUAGUUGAGGUUUGGGUCAUUUAUUUACCUCAUCCCACUCAUCACCUCACUCAUUAAUUCUCAUCAUUUCUCUUCUCUUUAACCAGUUCAUCAUUAACCCCCACCAACCCACUCAUUCUCCUCAUUUAUCUUACAUAACCCUUUCCAAUGCUUUUUAAAACUCCCAAUCCAAAAAAACUCCCAAUCGUUUCAUUUCAAUUAAUGAAACGAUCUCAUUAAGAUUGUUUCUCAUUCCUAGUCCUGUUCAUCCCACUCAUCCUCCUCAUUCUUCCCCCUCUCUCUCAUCUUUCUUAACUUUGGAAUAACUUUGCACACCAUGAUGUUUAAGCUGAAACUGGUAUUGUUUGUACAUUUUUCUCAUGUAAAUACCUUGUUUACUUAUGAGCUCCUCCAACAGGGGGCGCUGCAGAUGCAUGUUUAAAUUGUUUGCUCCAUGAAUUGACAUAAAAAUAGUUCAAACUGUGGUGGGUUAUAAAUUGAUGUGCACUUUGUUUAAUGCGAUAAGUAAUGUAAAUAGUCGUGGUUUUACGAAGUGAUUUGAAGUUUUGUGACGUUUGAAUUUUUGUGCGUUGCGUUAGGAUGGUACUGGUUCCCUCAGGGUGUUGCAGGUGUUGCAUAUUGUACCAAGCUGUUGUCUGUCUGCAUGUUGUAGUGCACAUGUACUAAAAAAAUGAACGUUUUAUGUAAUUUCAUGUUAGUUUUUUGAGUUUUUUUAUUAUUAUUCUCACUUUAGAUGCUUGAACAGUGAAAUGUCCUGUUGCGCACCAGGAAGUCCAGUGGACGUUGUCGACGUCUUCGUAUCGUUUUGUUCUGUUAAACGAUACGAAGCAAACAAACUGUCACUGUUGCUUCUUUCCAGUCAGCCAUGUUUGUUUGCUUUGAACUAAUGAAUUGUCUUGAGUAGUUUUGCGAGAUUUCCCAUCUGACAUCUGAAUGUUCAUGAGUGGCAUCAGUUCGUAGUGUUGGAGGAAUAUUUUCUUGACACCAUGUCUGUCACAAAGUUCCAGCCAUCGCAGGCUGGUUUCUUCAACGUCAACGGCCUCCAACGAUCUCAACCCAACAGUGCAGCAUCGUUCUACGGGAUGAUCUGGAGCCAUGAGAGUCACAUCAUGAGAUGUCCAGCAACUCAUGAAUCAAAUCUUUGAGGAAUGUUGCAGACAUGGGCUUGGUCUGGAAGCCGAUUCUGGCAUGGUGCUCCUGUAGACUUGGCUGCUAUGAUCUGUUUCCCUUGAGAGUUUGAACACAUCUGGACCAACAAAUCCAGAUCUUCAAGCAGAUGAAAGUGAUCUAUCCAUCAUCCCAUCAUUUAGGAACAAAGACAUCAAGAUACUUGAACUGUUGAGGCAAAGAGGAGGAGACCUUUAUCAGCAGAAAAAUGCAAAUCAACUUACAGACCAGCUGGAAACUGGGAAUAUGUUCUGCAUCAGACAGUCCAGAACCCAGAUGUGAUCAAUUAAAACCAGGAAUGUUGAUUUUAAUCUUACCAAAGUUUCUCUUUAGCCUAAUUUGUCCCAUUAGUCAAGCUUUAUGCACAAAGUUUCCAUUAAGCAUCCGGUAAAUAGCUACUUACUCCAGUUCAAUUAGUUUCCUCCACAAUCAGAUCCCCGUGCUGGCAGUCUUAUGUAACUGGAUUAUGUUGCAUCAUAAAUGAAAAAACAGAAGUUUCCGUUUGGUUGGAUGACAGCCUUUUGGAAAGGUUUUGAGUUUUGUAAGAUUUUUCAGCAGAAAAUUCAAAUUCCUCUAAAUAUUUAGAAUGAAUGUUGCAAAUCUGCCAGAGCGAGGAAAUUGUGUGGGUGUUGGUGCAAUCUGUCCUGCUGCAUAAACACUUUUACAUUUGGCUGCCUGAAUGUUUAACUUCUUAAACGUUGUCCUUUCACAGUGUUUUUUCUUUUUAAACUGGACCUGAUGACGGUGUCAGUCUUUGGCAACAAAGAGAUCUGGAGGUUCGUUUGGGUCCAGUUCGGUGGAAAGAGGUGGCCGCGACGGGCUGCAGGGCGU
This is an RNA transcript of Gambusia affinis (western mosquitofish), 4842 nucleotides long. It is a transcript of the gene named arg8-vasotocin receptor-like, with no coding region annotated. The transcript is spliced from 5 exons. Lineage: Eukaryota; Metazoa; Chordata; Actinopteri; Cyprinodontiformes; Poeciliidae. The record is from RefSeq and is a predicted model, not a curated record.